RNAcentral lists this unclassified non-coding RNA (344 nucleotides) under soil metagenome. Its description in RNAcentral is "partial contains 5.8S ribosomal RNA, internal transcribed spacer 2, and large subunit ribosomal RNA". The stretch from base 1 to 120 matches the Rfam family "5.8S ribosomal RNA", at positions 35 to 154 of the family's 154-position model. The record is from RNAcentral.
GAUGAAGAACGUAGCGAAAUGCGAUACGUAAUGUGAAUUGCAGAAUUCAGUGAAUCAUCGAGUCUUUGAACGCACAUUGCGCCCCCUGGUAUUCCGGGGGGCAUGCCUGUCCGAGCGUCAUUGCUGCCCUCAAGCACGGCUUGUGUGUUGGGCCUCCGUCCUCCUCCCGGGGGACGGGCCCGAAAGGCAGCGGCGGCACCGCGUCCGGUCCUCGAGCGUAUGGGGCUUCGUCACCCGCUCUUGUAGGCCCGGCCGGCGCUUGCCGACACAUCAAUCUUUUUUCCAGGUUGACCUCGGAUCAGGUAGGGAUACCCGCUGAACUUAAGCAUAUAAUAAGCGGAGGA